RNAcentral lists this ribosomal RNA (445 nucleotides) under uncultured bacterium. Its description in RNAcentral is "bacterial SSU rRNA". It matches the Rfam family "Bacterial small subunit ribosomal RNA", at positions 330 to 792 of the family's 1533-position model. The record is from RNAcentral.
ACCAGACUCCUACGGGAGGCAGCAGUGGGGGAUAUUGCACAAUGGGGGGAACCCUGAUGCAGCGACGCCGCGUGGGUGAAGAAGCGCCUCGGCGCGUAAAGCCCUGUCAGCAGGGAAGAAAAUGACGGUACCUGAAGAAGAAGCCCCGGCUAACUACGUGCCAGCAGCCGCGGUAAUACGUAGGGGGCAAGCGUUAUCCGGAUUUACUGGGUGUAAAGGGGGCGCAGACGGCGAUGCAAGCCAGGAGUGAAAGCCCGGGGCCCAACCCCGGGACUGCUCUUGGAACUGCGUGGCUGGAGUGCAGGAGGGGCAAGCGGAAUUCCUGGUGUAGCGGUGAAAUGCGUAGAUAUCAGGAGGAACACCGGUGGCGAAGGCGGCCUGCUGGACUGCAACUGACGUUGAGGCCCGAAAGCGUGGGGAGCAAACAGGAUUAGAUACCCGAGUA